This is a long non-coding RNA of Aethina tumida (small hive beetle), 412 nucleotides long. RefSeq lists it as uncharacterized. Lineage: Eukaryota; Metazoa; Arthropoda; Insecta; Coleoptera; Nitidulidae. The transcript has 2 exons. The record is from RefSeq and is a predicted model, not a curated record.
UUUUUAUGUUUUUUAAAUGCGGAGUUGGUAGUUCAAACGCCCGGGAUUUCUGUGGACGCUCCCGCAUUACGGGGGACGGUGAAAAUUAAUUCUUUCCCUAUGCUGUGGGGUGCAAAGCAGAAAUCCCGAAGUGGUUUCAGGUCCCCUAAAAAUCUUUAUAAAAGCCAAAUAAAGUGUUGUAGUGUGUAGAAUGGAGAAAUUACAUUUUUUGUACAAGAUGAUCCUAAAAUAUAAUGUACCAAAGGAUAUUACAGGCUGGGAAAGUACUUUCUGACGAAAUUCAAAGACACGUCAAAUUUGUUUAUCAAGGACAGAACAAUUUUUGAAGCCAAAAGCAUUGCAAAACCUUCAACCCUCUAAGUGAUGGUGUUAUCCAAUACCAACAAUACGUUUAAUAAAAAAUUCAAAAAUG